UACGUAGGGACCGAGCGUUGUCCGGAUUCAUUGGGCGUAAAGAGCUCGUAGGCGGCUGCUCAAGUCGAAUGUGAAAACUCGAGGCUCAACCUCGAGCCUGCAUUCGAUACUGGGCGGCUAGAGUCUGGUAGGGGGAUCUGGAAUUCCUGGUGUAGCGGUGGAAUGCGCAGAUAUCAGGAGGAGCACCGGUGGCGAAAGCGGGAUCCUGGGCCAGUACUGACGCUGAGGAGCGAAAGCGUGGGGAGCAAACAGG
RNAcentral lists this ribosomal RNA (253 nucleotides) under uncultured bacterium. RNAcentral's name for it is "partial 16S ribosomal RNA". It matches the Rfam family "Bacterial small subunit ribosomal RNA", at positions 524 to 776 of the family's 1533-position model. The record is from RNAcentral.